UUUUUUUUUCUUUUUCCAAACUAAACUAGGAAAAGAAGAAAAAAAUUAUAUUAAUAUAUCAGGGAAGGAUGUGAGUUUGAAAUAACCUGCUUCCAAGAGAGGAACCCCGGACGGUGUCGGCUCCACUGGAUGUCUGGUGGCCGCAGGGUGCAAGGGAAGAUAAAUUAUACUUACCAGAACCUGUCACCCGCAGCAAAGGCCAUGGUCCUCCUGCCGAUUCAGUUUCUGGUGAUUCAACUGCCAGGAACCUAUGUCAAUGUUAUACUCUCGUACACUGAGGUCUGUAAAGAAUCCUGCGAGACCAUGGGGUCCUACAUAGACAAAGCCUUUUUCCCUACAGCUGUCACUAAGUAUUGCUGGGGAAAUGACAAAAUUUGACAAAGGUAGUUCUGCCUUUUGUCAUGUUUUGUUAAUUGUAGGAAAAAUACUGAUGUGAAUUAGCCCCUACAUUGUCAUUGUAUUUUUUUACAUUGUUGGAGUUUUAGUGAUAUUCCAACACAGUCAAUGAGUAUCUUAUAGAGAUUUUAUCUUUACUUCCAAAGAGGAAUCUUGGCACACAAGACGCUGUGCAAACAGUUUAUAAUGGAACCAUGUCACAAGAUUUGUGCAGUUCUCUUUUGGUUAAAUUUUUUUAUCUAUCAGAAAUACUUAUUGGGAAGGGGGAGGAGGGGAAGUGCCGUUUUAACCCCUUCAUGACAGAUGACAUGGGUUAAAAUCUGUUAGAGAUAUAAUAUUUGCAUUAGCAAGAUUUAUAUGUUGUUUUAGACGAGGGGUUCUCAACCCAGUCCUCAAGGACCCCCUACCAGUCCAGGAUUUAGGGAUUAACUGGGUGUGUCUAAGGUGUUUAGAAAAAAAAAACACCUUAGAUUCUACCGUGUGCUCCCUUACUGGCCUAAUGCAGCCUUCUGUGCCAAGAAGGGUCCAGAGACACUGUAGUCUGCACCCACAGACAUUCAGAGCAUUGGUGCAGGUUCCUGCGGUGAUAUUCUGAAACCACACAAUGCCAGAGUUCUGGAGUACAGCAUAUUUACUCUUCACCUGGCAGGUGUGCAAGCUAAAGUCCGAAACUACCACAGUUUGUCAUGUUCCUCCAUCCCUGGCCAAAGGUAAGAAGUGUUGAAGGGGAAUAAACUGAAAUAAAACAAAAAAUAAGUUACAUCAAAGUUAAAUACAACUGCUUUCCUCUCACCACCCCACAAAUACACGCACACACUGCAUCCCCUACACACACAUUUUUUAAACACACACUACAUCCCCUAUAUCUAUAUCUUUACAUGUAAUCUUUCACACUUCAUCCUUCAAGAGGGCAUGUUAAUUGAAGUGACAACAGCUUUCCCUUCCCACACCUCACUCACCAACCUUAUGUCCUCUCCUGCAAUUAUGUCAUUUAGAAAAAAACUUAGCAAUCAUUAUAAACUCUUCUAGAAAACCCACUUUACCAUUACAUGAAAUACAUUUUUCCCUUAACUCUUGUGUCAUUUUACUCCACACCCCUUAUGUGAGCUUAUUUGAGCAGGGUCCUAGGCACUGUUUCCGUACAUCAAACUUGUCUUGAUGCAGAUGCUUGUUUUUUAGUCUACCUACCAACCGUACAGCCAAUAAAAUUUAUUGGCGUUUUAUAAAUAAUAAUAAGCUGAAGUUUACCAUAAUUACAGUACUGGUUGUGCCAUUUUAUUUUUCCUUCUAAAUUUCUAGUUUAAAUAUAUAUGUAUGCAUCUUAUAUUCAAAAAGUAUGGUAACUUAAUGCACCCUAAUAUACUGC
Molecule: non-coding RNA, 1762 nt
Organism: Pelobates cultripes (western spadefoot toad)
Lineage: Eukaryota; Metazoa; Chordata; Amphibia; Anura; Pelobatidae
Source: the annotation of a GenBank genome assembly